This 1154-nucleotide ribosomal RNA is filed under the name Smittium cf. morbosum WKRb. RNAcentral describes it as "eukaryotic LSU rRNA". It matches the Rfam family "Eukaryotic large subunit ribosomal RNA", at positions 1 to 959 of the family's 3401-position model. The record is from RNAcentral. Lineage: Eukaryota; Fungi; Kickxellomycota; Harpellomycetes; Harpellales; Legeriomycetaceae.
GUCUGAACUCAAAUCAGGUAAGAUUACCCGCUGAAUUUAAGCAUAUUAAUAAGCGGAGGAAAAGAAACUAACAAGGAUUCCCUUAGUAACGGCGAGUGAAGCGGGAACAGCUCAAGCUUGAAAUCGGCAGUUGGUAAACAUAUGCCGAGUUGUAGCUUUUGGAAGCAGUUUCAAGCCACUGGUUGCGGUAAAAGUUCUUUUGAAUAAGACAUCAAAGAGGGUGAGAAUCCCGUCGUUGACCGCGAUUUAAGUGGUGAUGCGAACUGUUUUCUGCGAGUCGGGUUGUUUGGGAAUGCAGCCCUAAUUGGGAGGUAAAUUUCUUCCAAAGCUAAAUAUCAGUAAGAGACCGAUAGCAAACAAGUACCGUGAGGGAAAGAUGAAAAGCACUUUGAAAAGAGAGUGAAAAGUACGUGAAAUUGUUGAAAGGGAACCGGUUGGUAGCCAAGCAUUUCUUGGUGUUAGGGCAUUUAUGUCAGAGCGCCAGGAGGGUCAACAUCGAUUGCUGUUAACUGCCAGAAAGGAAAUUGUGCGGGCUAGCGGAGGAAGGUAGGGAGGUGAGUUUCCAGGGCAUUUAUGGCCUGGUAUUAUGGCUUGCUUUCUGUUAUAGCCUCCAUGGGUCGGCUUUUACGCCUAGUGGUGGUGGCGAUCGAGGACUGCAGCGCGUUUUGAGGGCUUUAUUGCUCUUGAUGGCCUGAUUUUCUGGAAGGAUUGUAGUUGCGUUGCGGUAGACAGCAUGCUGACUGCUGCGGGUAGGCUAUAUGCUUGCGGAGAUUUGGGAUUAAUAAGCGCUUUGGAUGUUGGCGAAAAGGCACUAAUCGACCCGUCUUGAAACACGGACCAAGGAGUCCAACAUGCAUGCGAGUAUCUGGGAAACGUAAACCCAUAUGCGCAAUGAAAGUGAACUAGUAGAAACUUUUAUUAGAAUGUAACCGGGAGCAAUCCUGGGCAGCAUCGACCGACUUUCGAUACCGUUGCUUGAAGAGGUUGAGUAAGAGCAUGUAUGCUGGGACCCGAAAGAUGGUGAACUAUGCCUGAAUAGGGUGAAGUCAGAGGAAACUCUGAUGGAAGCUCGUAGAGAUUCUGACGUGCAAAUCGAUCUCCAAAUUUGGGUAUAGGGGCGAAAGACUAAUCAGAACCUCUAGUAGCUGGUCUGC